This 448-nucleotide ribosomal RNA is filed under the name uncultured Fusibacter sp. RNAcentral describes it as "bacterial SSU rRNA". It matches the Rfam family "Bacterial small subunit ribosomal RNA", at positions 335 to 798 of the family's 1533-position model. Lineage: Bacteria; Bacillati; Bacillota; Clostridia; Eubacteriales; Fusibacteraceae. The record is from RNAcentral.
UCGCCUACGGGAGGCUGCAGUGGGGAAUAUUGCACAAUGGGCGCAAGCCUGAUGCAGCAACGCCGCGUGAGUGAUGAAGGCCUUCGGGUUGGAAAACUCUGUCCUAUGGGAAGAAACAAAUGACGGUACCAUAGGAGGAAGCCCCGGCUAACUACGUGCCAGCAGCCGCGGUAAUACGUAGGGGGCAAGCGUUAUCCGGAAUCACUGGGCGUAAAGGGUGCGUAGGCGGCUUAUCAAGCCAGGGGUGAAAGGCAUUGGCUCAACCAAUGUAAGCCUUUGGAACUGAUAGGCUUGAGUGCAGGAGAGGUAAGUGGAAUUCCUAGUGUAGAGGUGAAAUUCGUAGAUAUUAGGAGGAACACCAGUGGCGAAGGCGACUUACUGGACUGUAACUGACGCUGAGGCACGAAAGCGUGGGUAGCGAACAGGAUUCGAUACCCUGGUAGUCAGU